This 428-nucleotide ribosomal RNA is filed under the name uncultured bacterium. RNAcentral's name for it is "partial 16S ribosomal RNA". It matches the Rfam family "Bacterial small subunit ribosomal RNA", at positions 354 to 796 of the family's 1533-position model. The record is from RNAcentral.
GUGGGGAAUAUUGGGCAAUGGGCGCAAGCCUGACCCAGCAACGCCGCGUGAGGGAAGAAGGUCUUCGGAUUGUAAACCUCUGUCCUUGGGGACGAAAAAAAUGACGGUACCCAAGGAGGAAGCUCCGGCUAACUACGUGCCAGCAGCCGCGGUAAUACGUAGGGAGCGAGCGUUGUCCGGAAUUACUGGGCGUAAAGGGUGCGUAGGCGGCUUGGCAAGUCAGAUGUGAAAUCCCCGGGCUUAACUCGGGAGUUGCAUUUGAAACUGCUAGGCUUGAGUGCAGGAGAGGAAAGCGGAAUUCCUAGUGUAGCGGUGAAAUGCGUAGAUAUUAGGAGGAACACCAGUGGCGAAGGCGACUUUCUGGACGAAAACUGACGCUGAGGCGCGAAAGCCAGGGGAGCGAACGGGAUUAGAAACCCCAGUAGUCC